UUUUUUUUUUUCUUUUUUUUUUUUCUUUUUAGGGCUGCACCUGCAGCAUCUGGAGGUUUCCUAGGCUAGGAGUCCCAUCAGAGCUACAGCUGCUGGCCUAUGCCACAGCCACAGCAAUGCCAGCUCCAAGCCGUGUCUGCGACCUACACCACAGGUCACGGCAACACCAGAUUCUUAACCCACUGAGUGAGGCCAGGGGUCGAACCCACAACCUCAUGGUUCCUAGUUGGAUUUGUUGCCAGUGCACCACAACGGGAACUCCUGGUCUCAGCUUUUCUGCUCCUUACCUAAUUUCUCCUCCUCUCCCAAACCUUUAAUGUUCAAGUGACCCAGGGCUCUUUUCUAUCCCCAUCCCCUUCCCCAUUAUUCUCACUGAAUCCUAGGGCUCCCCAAACCUAUCCAGUCACUGGUGAUUCCUUUCCUGAACUCCAGACUCCUGUUUCCAACUCCUAGUCAGUGUAUCUCCUUGGUUAGGACAUCUCCACCUCAGCAUAUUCCAAAUAACACUCCUGAUCUGGUCCCCAACAAACUUGUUCCAUUCCCAGGUUUACCCACCUUGGUAAAUUAGAGACUGUCUUUCUAAUUGCUUAGGCCAAAAACUUGAGUCAUCCUUGACAAUUUACUUUCUCUUGUACCUCGCCUGAUCUGUUAGCAAAUCCUGUGGAAUCUCUGAAAUAUACCCAGAAUCUGUACCUUUCUUCACACAUUUGCUGCUGUCGCACUAUUCUCUCUCACUUUGCUUCCCUAGAGGGUAUUCUCUGCACAGUAAUCUGAGUGAUCCCAUCAGAUAAUAUUACUUCUUACCUCAAACCCUCCAGCAGCUCCCAUCUUAUCCUGGGUAAAAGCCAAAGUCCUUAUAACAAUGAUCUCUACGGCCCUGCACAUCUGGCCACAUGCUGCCUUUUCAACAUCGAACACUAAACUCACUAUUCCAGUAAUUCUCCAGACAUGAAGCAGCCCCAGGACCUUUUCACCUGCUGUUCUGUCUGUGGAGUACUCUUCCUCUAAAAGUCACUCCUCACCUCCUUCAAGAGUUUGCUCAAAUGUCACCUCAGUGAAGCCUACCCUAUAUCCUGUCCAAAAUUGUGAAACAUUUCUCCCCAUAGCACUUUCAUCAUCUAACAUACAUGGUGCUAACCAAGGGUGAGGGAACUCUAGAAUGGACAGUAGAAGACAGAGACCUGUAUCAUUUGCUGCCUCCAGAUCAGCUGCUGGGCUGGGGGCUGUGGCUUGUACCACAUCCAGCGCUGCAGCUGCCGUGGGCACUGCAGGUUGAUGGAGCUUGGGAUACUCUGCUGACAUGCUCCGGGAUCUAAUUUUUAGAGGCCAGACUGAUGAAUUAAAUGGGAAUUGAUCUUCUUCCUUUAGGUCUUUUAAGGUACUAUUUUCUGCUUUUUGCCUCAGGAUAUUUAAAAUUUGCAGUCUUGCUCAGAGGAGAAAUGUAUGGGCAGUUUCAGAGGCUCUCACUGGUCCAUCCCUACUUUUUAUUCACAGGCCAAGGGACCAAUGUGGAUAUGUGGGUGUUCUGGCAACUUGCAAGUAUUAUCUCUUUCAAUUACACAUUCAGGGACUGGGGACAUAACCACAGGGUUAGUCUCUGGACCAAGCGGACCUACUGAAGUAGACCUGGGCUAGAAGUCCAUCUCUUACCUGGCUCUCAUCCAUAUUCACUCUACUAGGGACCAUGAUUUAUAUCACGCUGGAUAUCAUUGUCAUCUCAGACCUUGUGUUCAGCAGUUGUCAAAAUACCGGGCUAUUUCCUUUCCCCAGGGUAUAGGUUACCCAAGUAAAUACCUGCCAGUCCCUUUGUAGAAGGACUGGGGUAUCCUUGUCAUAUAGGCUUGCCAAGGUGUUGCAGGGUGCAUCUUCCUGAGGCCCUGGCCUUUCCUUCAGUUAGUGGGUUCCAAGUCUAAAGAUUAGUUUAGGUCCAGAAGCUCAUCAAAGAAUGCUGACUUUUUAUUGGCACAACUGCCGUUAGUCUCUUCACGAUCCUUCCUCUUGAUCCGUGCAUCAGAAUCACUCAGAAGGCCGUGUUAAACUACAGAUUGCUCAUCCACACAGCCAGAGUUUCUGAGUAGGUCUGGGCUGGGGCCUGAGAAUUGGUGCCUCUCACAAUUUUCCAGAUGAUGCUGAUGCUGCUGGUCAGAGACCACACUUUGAAAACACUGUACAGAUCAAUCUGGGGACUCCCCAUGAGCUCCAGCCAUUUUCCCAACCUUCUGUGCUUCAGUCACCCCCUGCUGCUCUAACCUGCUGUUCAGUGAGCAGUUUGCCCCCACCUUGCUUCGGACAGUUAAACAUUGUCACCUGGCCUCUAGGGCUCUGGGAUCUUCCCUCUCCGUGUGAAUCAAUCGUUGGAUGUAGGCUGCCCCCAGGGAGAGGACCUGUCCUUGUGCCAGGGCUCUGGGCAAUGGGGACUGGCCGGGAGCUCUCAGCUGUCAGCACUAAACAACUGGGAAAAUUGGGUGUAUGGGGCUUGAAGGGAAAAUGUGGGUGGUGCUUUUCUGACCCUACCAUGAAUCUACCAGCAUCAGCCUCACAGCCAGGACUGGGGUGACAGGAGUGAGAUUUGCCUCAGGUACAAAAUUUAAGGGGACACCAAAAGAUUAAAUAAUCAAGGUAAACAUUUUGAAGCCACAUUUCAAAAAGCAAAAUGCAAAAAAAUUCCAUGAUAAGCAAAAUUUCAGAUUUUUAAAUAAAGGCAGGAUCAGUGUUAUGGAUCUUUCUGUUUCCCUUGCAAUCUGUCUACACCCACUGGAAGUUAAGUUCUGAGAGGGCCAGGGUUUCUGUUUGCCUUACUCACUGAUGUACCCCCAAUUCUUAGAGGAGUUCCUGGCACAUACUAGAUGCUCAGUUAAUCUUUGUUGAAUGAGACAUUUAAGACCUGUAAGGGAAGCAUGACCAUUUGUCUACACUUGCCCAUUUCUCCCUCUUCUCCCAGUAUUUCUCAGUUAGUACCGACUAGACAAAAGAGGCUUCUUCAUCUUGGAGCCAGGAGAAUUGGAGGGAGCUUUGUGCCAUGGAGGGAAAGCACCUGACAAAAUAGCACAUAUUUUAUUGUUAAUGUCAAUUGUGAAGUGUGUUUAAAAGUAUUUCUUUAGUGAUUUCAUCAUCAGAUUUAAAGGAUAGAUGCAAUGCAUGUCAUUAUACUAACUAACCACAGCUAUUAGUUGUCAUCUUGUAUAAUUAUGAGAAACAGCUUUCAGAACUGCUCCUAAAAAGCUGCCCUGCCCCCAAGGAUUAGAUGGAUUUAGGAUUCCAGGACCAAAAGCAGAAGAGCAGAUCUUCAUGCAAGUGGCAAGUGUCAUGGUCAGCAGGUUCCUGUCCUCCCCUGCUUUUUAUCUCCAUGAGACAUCUGAUUAUUCCACCAGGAGCACCAAGGUUUAUGUUUCAACCAGGAAUGGCUGAAAUGGCAGACCUUUUGCACAUGACACUGGAAGAAGAUGUGACCAGAACUGCAGGGCACUAGCUCUGGUGAGUCCCCUCCUUAUUGCCCUCUCUGCACCCACGACCAGUUCUAAUUUAUUUACUCAGUAAAGGAAACUUGGGAGUCCCUGGGGCAGAAGAGAAUCUCAGGGGAUUAAAGGCAACUCCCACUCACUAUAGAAAAAUGAGAUUGUUUCUGUCCCUCCAAAGCGAAGUGCAAAACAAAUCCCAAGCAUCCGAUCUCCAGUGUCAUUUCAAACCAAACCAAACCAACCAAUCAAACAAAAAGCCUGCCAAGCAAAAAUUUAGACCCGAGAAAUUUCAGAAGCAGAGGACCUGAGUCUGGUCAUCCUGCCCCUCUCUGGAGCAAGAGCCAUGUAUGUGGCAGGGAGUUGGGUGAUGCCAGGGUGUUGAUGAUGUCCUGCCUCAUGACAUGUACCAACUGCCAUCCUCCCAGGCACAGAGAGAUCUGAGUGGACAAUUGAGAAGAUAUGGGAAGAGGAAGGAACUGCCUGGUAUUGAGCACCUACUCUGCUUGGUGUCAUAUUAGACACUUGAUGUACCUUGGUCUGUAUGUAUGAGAUAGGUAGAUAAUAAAUACUUAGUUCUCAUAGCAAUUAUGUAAGAAAGGUAACAUCAACUCUGUUUAUAGAUGGAAACAUGAUCAGAGGGGGCUAUGUUAAUUUUUCAAGGUCACACAGCUAACAAAUGGCUUCUGGAGGAGGAGAAACUGAUUCCAAAAUCAGUGCCCCAAGUCACCUAUAUAUAUCAUGACAAUUCCCCCAAAGAAAUAUGACUAUAUCAGGGCAAGGCCAAAGUCAGAAGGGUCUUGUCUCAUCUCCCAUUCAGUCAUGGAGUGCUUUCAGAGAGAAAAGUGUGGGCAGCCCUCUCCUACAGGCACUUGGGUUGAGGGCAGUUCCCUUUUCUUUACAGGCAGACCUGGGCAGCUGCAUAUGCAAAGCAGGGGAUUUCUCCACACCUUAGCCCUGGUUCAGCACCUAAGGAAAGGCAGUAACACCUCAAGGCGGCUGUGCUUCGCCACGCCAAGCCGGGCUGUGGCAUCCGCUGGGCUCUGGGCACUGUCGCGGCGGAACACUGUGAGGCUGCCCUGGGGGAUGGCGAGGUGCAGCCAGGCCAAGUAGCCCUUUUUUUUUCCCCCCAUCAAAUGUGUGAAAGUACUUUUUUUCAUGGGGAGCUUUUGCUCAUUAAAAAGCUGGACCCUAGAUAACUGUCCGGAAGGGGUUUUGUGUGUCCGUUUCCUGUGCUUACUUCCCUUGAACAAAGGUGGCUCUGACAAGUCCCAGUCCCCCGGAAAGGGAAUCUAGGCCAGCCCGUUCUCUCUGUGGCUCACACCACUAGGGGGCGUGGAGGAUCGCUGACAAAGGAACUCAAAAGCCUGGGAUGCCUGAACUCACCAGCUGAAGCUGGAGACCUGCCUGCAUUCAACUCAUGAUGAAAAAGUUUCUUCCAAAAGCAGGCCCCUUGGGCGCUCCAGGCAGACACACAGGCCCACUGAGGGCUGGGCCAGAGCCGGUGGGGGCGGGGAACCCCAUUUGAGCAUCACAGAACAGUGCUCCUUCUUCUGAAGACUUUGCACCUGAAGAGCUAGACUGUGGCAGGGCCUUGAAGCCCUGAGAGCCUUGAAGCCAGAGUCCAUUUUAUAGAAGCGCAGACUCUGAAAGAAUAUACGUUCAGUAAUGUGAUUCCUUUGGGAGGUGGGGAACAGGCAGAUUCCUAUCCACAAGGUCCUCAGAUUUGUGUUAAUCAGAAAUUUAAAACAAAAAACAAAACAAAAAAAAAAAACACACAGAAUCUCCCACAAGCAAUAGCCUGCAUUAUUUUUUUGUGGUUGAGACAUCAUCGACAUAGAGUAGGUUUAAAGUGUACAACGUGUUGAUUUGAUGCAUUUAUACAGUGUAUGAUCACCACUAUCAUGCCAGCCAACCUCCAUCACGUUAAGUAAUUACCAUUUCUUUUUUGUGGUGAGAACAAUUAAGACCUAGUCUUUUAGCAACUUUCAAUUAUAUAAUACAGUAUUAUUAACUGAAAUCAUCAUGCUGUGCAUUAGAUCUCCAGAAUUGAUUCAUCUUCUAGCUGUACGUUUGUGGCCUUUCGCCAACAUCUCCCCAUUUCCUCCACUUCCUGGCCCUGGUAACCACCCUUCUACUCUGUUUUUAUUCAGCUUUUUUAGAUUUCACAUACAAAUGAUGUCAUUACAAGAUUUGUCUUUCUCGGUCUGGAUUAUUUCAUUUAGCACAAUGUCCUGGAGCUCCAUCCAUGUUGUUGCAAGCAGCAGGAUGUACUUUCUCAUGGAUGAAUACUGUCCAAUUGUAUACAUGUCUGUCUUCUUUCUUCCUCAUUGAUAAAUGCUUGUUUCCUUAUCUUAGCUGCUGUGAAUAAUGCUGCAUUGAACAUGGUGGUGUAGAUCCUAUUUUCCUUUCCUUUGAAUAUAUACCCAGUAAUGAAAUUGCUGGAUCAUAUAUAGCUCUAUUUUUAAUUUUUUGAGGAACCGCCAUACUGUUUUCCAUAGUGAAUGGACCAAUUCACAUUUCCACCAACACUGCGCAAGUGUUCCCUUUUCUCCAAAUCGUUAUCAACAUUUGUUCUCUCUCUUUUUUUAAUGAUAGCUAUUCUAACAAGUGUGAAGUGAUAUCUCACUGUGGUUUUGACUUGUGUUUCUGUGGUGAUUCAUGAUGUUGAGCACCUACCUUUUCAUGUACCUACUGGCCAUUUGUAUGUCUUCUUUGGAGAAAUACUUAUUCAGCUUCUCCGUUUUAAAGUCAAAUUGUUUGGAGUUUUGUUUGUUUGUUUGUUUUUGUUUUUUGGUGUUGAGUUGUAUAAAUUAUUUAUAUACUGGAGAAAUUAAUCCCUUAUCAGGAAUAUAUAAUUUAUUUAUUAAAUUAAAAAGUAGGCUUCUGGAAACGCAACAGAGGAGAUUCACUCAUACUUUUUAAAAAUCUGCCUUUACUAGCACUUACUGUUUGCCAGGCUAUGCCAAGCCUGAGGAAUCUGUAAAAGAUAUUUGUUAUUGUCUGGCCACCAUUAUCUGAGCCACCCUCCUUAUUUGAGGAAUUCCCUCCCCAUCUCUGACCAGGCUGAAAACAUCAGCUACUCACCUUCAUUCAGAGUAUGUGCACUUUGACCAGGGCUUAGCCAAUCCGGUGCAUGCACCUCAGUGUAUUGGGAGCAGAGAGGCCAGGACGAAGGAGGGGGGCCAACCCACCAACAGGGAGGGCUGUGGCAGAUGCUGCAGCAACGUCUCAUUUCCAGGAACAGCUGGCAAUUUCCGUGGAAAGGCAGUGCAUUCUGGACAUCAGGUGACCUGGUUUGGUGGUGUAAUUUUGAAUGUGGCCCUCCCUCGUGUCUUUUAGUUUCCUUUUUUUCAUACCUAAUUCUGAUUUUUCCCACUGAUUCAAUGAGCUACUGCAUUCCUUUUAGCUAAGUCCCUGUGUACUUAAAUCAACACAGAUGGGUUUUGUUCUUCACAGCUAAGAACCCUGAUUGACCAGGAAGAAAAAAAAUUAAGUCUGAAUCAUGUCCCUCAAGAGCUUGGCACACACGUGAUUUCAAUACAGUCCGUGUUCUGGAGGAAAGACGGGACUCUUGGAGCUUCAGUAAGGAACACAAAGGCCUUUGACUGCAAGGAACUCAGUCUACUGGGAGAGAUGGAUACAUCAACAGGUAGUUGUAUAGCAAUGUCAUAAAAACAGUGCUGGAGAUGUACUCAGGGAGAGAUGGAAGCAUCAGGAGCAGCACAGCCCAGCUCUGGCAAGCCAGGGUGCUGAUGGAAGAAGGCUUUGGAGACAGGCCUGUGAUGUUUGACCCAAGCCCUAAAAGAAGAGUAAAAGUAAGUCAGACAAAAGCAGAGGAGCCUUGCAAAAAAGAAGCCCUUCCCUGUGCAAAAGCAAAAGCCCAAAGGAAAUUCAACAUGGAAUGUGUGAAGUUAAGCAGUUUGGUGUGGCUAGAACCACUAUAUUUCUAGAAAAGAAUAAAAAAGUUGGAGUUUCCAUUGUGGCUCAGCGGGUUAAGAAGCUGAAUGGUAUCCAGGAGGAUGUGAGUUCGAUCCCCAGUCUUAUUCAGUGUGUUAAGGAUCUGGUGCUGUUGAAAGCUGCAGCAUAAGUUGCAGAUGCAGCCCAGAUCCCAUGUUGCUGUGACUGUGGUGUAAGCCAGAAGCUGCAGCUCCAAUUCAACCCCUAGCCUGGGAACUACUAUAUGCUGCAGAUUCAGCCAUUAAAAAAAAAAAAGAAGAAUAAGAAAGUUGUCUUGAGCCAAAAGCAAGAGGUGUGCUUUGAGUACAAGACUUGGAUGUAGAGGUGAGACUUGGGAAUAGCUCCCUAGAGGAAAGGGAGAUGCUGAGGACGAAGGAUAAGGAAAAGGUUCAGUGAUGCAGAGAGCCCAGGAGAGGCUGUAGAGCAUAAUAUUUUAGUAGAACUAACCCAUGUGGUCAGAGAUUUUCUCCAGAAAUAUUUAGCUACAAAUGUAUAAC
Molecule: long non-coding RNA, 7912 nt
Filed under: Sus scrofa (pig)
Lineage: Eukaryota; Metazoa; Chordata; Mammalia; Artiodactyla; Suidae
Description: lncRNA (ENSSSCG00005032813.1)
Source: RNAcentral